Cyprinus carpio (common carp) is the source of this 1192-nucleotide long non-coding RNA. The record is from Ensembl. NCBI's taxonomy places the organism in Eukaryota, Metazoa, Chordata, Actinopteri, Cypriniformes, Cyprinidae.
AUGUUGAAGGCUGUACUAUUUGUGAUGGAUGCACUUCUGUCACACCAAGAGUCUCAUUUUCUCAUCAGUCCUUACGGAGUUGAAACUGCAGGUCUUUAUAUUAUGCUGAGAGAGCGUGUCACGGCCGUUCACUUAAACUGUGGAGCAAUACGACCCUGCAGGGAAAUAACAUGCACGCAUGGACACAUACCGAGGGUUGGAGACUAUGGUCAUAUCUCUUUCUAACUGUGGUGACAACACUUGAUGGCCUGGACACAACGAGAAAAGCCAGACUAUUGCAUUCGGUUCUGACUCGGUGUAUCCCAGCAUGCCAGUGGUGCAAUCCCCAAUGAGUGCCUCAUUAAUUACGUGCCUCUGACUUCAGAAAUGCCAGCUGAGGAGGGAGGCAUACAUUUCAUCUGCAGACUGUUCCAAAAAUUGUCUUUCAAGCCAGACUGACAGCACGCAUUCCAAUCACAGACUCACCCAGGUCUGAAAUUGCAGGUAGUUCACCAGCUGUGAGGUGUUGGGUGAGUCUUAAUGUGUUCUGUGUGUAAGCUCACUGAGAUAAAUUAGUUCCAUGACAUGAUAUAUGACAAGGAUCUGUAAUAAUUUACAGUAUUUAAAUGGUAAAGCUCAGGGGCAUAUUGAAAAAUGGUUCGAAUGGAAUAGCAAAGUAGUCUUUUAAUAGGAUUUUGACCUGAGGUUAUUGUGGCCAGAGUUUUUUGUUGCAUGAGGUUAUUGACCACCUAAUGAGUUUCUACAUAUUAAAGCAAUAAGCCACAAGAGGCCGUGCAUAGCAAUGAUUUCACCACAGUUAAGGGGGUUCUGUUCAUGAUGUGAAUCAGACCACCAUUUACAAAAUGGCAACAACAAUAUGAUCUCAUUAAUAAUUGUAGAUAUUCAUGUAAUUGUGCACAUAAAUACAUAAUGCACUUUCAGCCUUUAAAACAUAGGUAUGUUUGCCAAUUGUAAACAAAAAUGUACAUAUAAUUUUAGGAUCAUAGAAUGUUGAAUUCAUGGAAUGAAUAGGUUGGCUUUUAUUGGGUUAAUCAAUGACACUGGUUAAAUUCAGUGUUCAGUGCAAUCACAUUUGUUUAAUGCAUUUACCUAAUUUGACAUUGUAAUGGUUUCAUUAUGUUCUGUAUAAUGUCUGGUGCUAUAUUCAUGACAUAACAUAUGUCAACGUUUAAAAAAUGUACACUACUGAAAU